GGGUUAAGUCCCGCAACGAGCGCAACCCUUGCCUUUAGUUGCCAGCAGUUCGGCUGGGCACUCUAAAGGGACUGCCGGUGUUAAACCGGAGGAAGGUGGGGAUGAACGUCAAGUCCUCAUGGCCUUUAUGACCAGGGCUACACACGUACUACAAUGGCCGAUACAAAGGGCAGCGACACUGCGAGGUGAAGCCAAUCCCGUAAAAAUCGGUCUCAGUCCGGAUUGGAGUCUGCAACUCGACUCCAUGAAGUUGGAAUCGCUAGUAAUCGUGGAUCAGCAUGCCACGGUGAAUACGUUCCCGGGCCUU
Molecule: ribosomal RNA, 307 nt
Filed under: uncultured Desulfobulbus sp.
Lineage: Bacteria; Pseudomonadati; Thermodesulfobacteriota; Desulfobulbia; Desulfobulbales; Desulfobulbaceae
Description: bacterial SSU rRNA
Rfam family: Bacterial small subunit ribosomal RNA
Source: RNAcentral